Long non-coding RNA from Gastrolobium bilobum, 658 nucleotides. RefSeq lists it as uncharacterized. NCBI's taxonomy places the organism in Eukaryota, Viridiplantae, Streptophyta, Magnoliopsida, Fabales, Fabaceae. The record is from RefSeq and is a predicted model, not a curated record. The transcript is spliced from 3 exons.
UGAGGGAGGAAGAGAAUGAGAUUUUGAAAUCCAAUCUUCCAAGGCUCAUAACUUGAGCUAGAAAACUCCAAAUCACUCCGUUCCAAAGCCAAACUUAUAAGAAAUUUCGAGAAGAAUCCAUUGGUACCAGUAUUUCUGAGUGGGUUUCAUUGUAGAGAGAGAUCCUCCUCCUCCAAGAUUUCGGAUUUCAUGGAUAAUGGGGAUUUUGAUGGAGCUUGAAGCCAUGGGAGCUUGAAGUGUACCUAGGGACUGUGAACGUUUGGAUUCUCGUGGAGUAUGAUAAGUAGCUUGUUCUUCAAGUAAGCAGAUUGUAAAGCUCAAAGAGGAACACAGUUAAUUGAAGAGCCUCAUGGGACAAGGACACUAACCGUGGCUAGAGGUACUAGUAUGAGGAUGUGGAGUUCUGGGUGGUCGGAUGCUACUAUUUGUUUUAGACGUAUUUUUGGAGAAGAUGUAUUGUUGCAUAGUGUUCAUAUUCGAUACUUGUAUAUUUAUGUAUUCAGGCAUGAUGAUAUGACUAUGUAGUAUUCAGUUAUGUUAUGUAUUGGAUUGCAUGCUAUUAGAUUUGUGGCACGGAGCCAAGUUCAGCAUGCGCCCAUAGAUGGGUAUCUGAGUAUAUUUGCAUGACUGGUACUUCUGGAAAUAUAUAUUGUUUAAA